Molecule: ribosomal RNA, 98 nt
Filed under: Eubacterium sp. An3
Lineage: Bacteria; Bacillati; Bacillota; Clostridia; Eubacteriales; Eubacteriaceae
Description: partial 16S ribosomal RNA
Rfam family: Bacterial small subunit ribosomal RNA
Source: RNAcentral
AUUUUAUUUGAGAGUUUGAUCCUGGCUCAGGAUGAACGCUGGCGGCGUGCCUAACACAUGCAAGUCGAACGAAGCACCUUUUGAGAUUCUUCGGAUGA